CUUCUGUAGAUCAAGAAUUUGGUAACAAUACUAUUAAUAUUAUGAAGAAACAAAGAGAUCAUGAGUUGUCUUUAGACCUUAACAAUAUUCCAAUUCAAGAUGAUCAUCCUGUUGUAUCCUUAAAGCAACAAGAUCAAGAACAAACACAAAGGCAACUUGUUGAUUGUAAUUAUUGACAAUAAUGCAGGUACAUUUUUUUAAUUUUUUUUUUCUUACUUUUUAACCAUACAAUUAUAUGAGUAAAUAUUUUUCUCAUUGUUAUGAUAUACAAAUUCUUUAAUAUUAAUUCAGUGGAUAAUAUAGUAAAAACCACUUAGUAUUUGAUUCAUUUAAAUUCUCAUAGUACUUGAGUUUGCCACAUGAAUCAACAUUAAUAUAUAUGCCGAUGGUCUAUCAAAAUUAUUAUCUCUAUCCCAUAAAGAUAGAGAUAAAGUCUGCAUAUCUUGUUCUUUUCACACUUAUAAAAUUACACUGACUACAUUAUUAUUGUUAAUUAACAUGCAUACAUACCCUUUUGAGGAUUUACAGUCCACUUUAUGACUUAAUUUCUCUCUGUUUCCUUCACCAACGUGAAUAACGAUAAUAGCUUUAGAAUACUUAACUAGCAUGUUGGCCUUUUAAUCAUGUUAGGUCUUUUGGAUUGUACAUCACCUUUUUGUUACUCCCAUUGUUACAUUUUAUGUGAAAAUAUUUGAUUGAAUAUGAAUACGUGUGACAUGCAAGUCACAUACACACUAUAACGUACCAAUAUUCUUUUACAUAAAUAUAUAGAUUAGAAUUUCACGUGUCUUUUCAUUUUAGAAGAGUGGCGAUGAAGUUUUAACAAGUCAUGUUAGACCAGUCAACUUGUGCGUACCUUAAUUAUUCUACCAGAUACCAACAACUACCUCCCGCUAGCAGAAAUAUCAAGUAUUAAGCUUACCAUGUAUUUCUACAAGAAGUUGUUUACACAACUCGAACCAUAACCUCUAAUCACAAGACACCAACUUUAUCAAUUACACCAAACAUUCUUUUUAGUUUAAUUUGCUUCCUUGAUUCAAAACAUUGGACCAAGAAAUUAGUGAAAAUGCAUGCAUAUUAUAUUCCAAGUGGAGAUAUGCUUGUGGAAGACAAGUAACUAGCAUGAAAGAAAUAAUUUAGGUUUGUGUGUUGCACGUAAGGGAAGUUGUUGCAAGAGACAGGCAAAGUUUAGUGAAAAUGCAUGCAUAUUAUAUUCCAAGUGGAGAUAUGCUUGUGGAAGACAAGUAACUAGCAUGAAAGAAAUAAUUUAGGUUUGUGUGUUGCACGUAAGGGAAGUUGUUGCAAGAGACAGGCAAAGUUCAGUUCAUGUCCUAAACUUAUCCCCCUUUUAUCAUAUUCCACUUCUACCAACACCAUAUCUACACAAUCUUUUUUAUUCUCUCAUUAAUUUGAUAACACAUACAAUAAUCACACAGUUCGAUAUGGUAUUAAAACAAAUAAAGAUACUAGAUUCACGUCUCACCAUCAUCAUUGGAAAAAAAAUGUUUUGUCUAAGAAAAAAUUAUUAGACCUGAAUAUAUUAUCAUCUACUAGAUACUAUUCUUCCAUACCCUUAUAAUGUUCUCCAAGUCACUAUUUAUUCUCUUUGAGGAUUCGUUAUAAAGAAGCAAAAUAAGGCAAAAACCAACAUGAAAAUCUGACAAGUUGACUCUUAAAAUUUGAUAGUACAAAAUAAGAACAUAAACAACUAGAGUAACAAAUAUUUGAAUUUAAGACGCUUAUUACAAGAUAAUAAAACAUAAAUAAUCUUUCAGGCAACUUCCCUGUUGAAUAAACAGAGAACUGGGAUUAUUUUAUUUAUUGAUUAUCCAGGGCCAUUUUUCUAAAACUGAACAUAACAAGUUACAGUUCAUGUACCUUGUGUAAUGUUGCUGAACUAUGAAAGUGAUAACUCACGGAUCCUGCCAUCCAGGUUUCCCUUUUAAUGAGCAAACGGACUUUUAUCGAGAUUCAACAAACACAGAAGUUGUUCGGGCUGGCACGUUAAAGCAACCCGAGGUUGCAUCAUAUGUUGAGUUCUUAAUAAUGUCAGUUGAGUUCAUCUGGAGAUGCAAAAGUGAACAAUGAACAUCAUAUAAGUAGCUAGUCAUGCAUGAAGAUGCGAUUGUAUUUAUACUUCUAUUGUGAAACAAAUAGUAAGACACUUUCUAUAAACUCCGAAGAGGCUUGUAACAUGUGUUUACGGAAGCACAUUAACCAGUCUGGCAUAUUCAGAUAUAUAAAAAACAAAUAAAUACCUGU
RNAcentral lists this long non-coding RNA (2262 nucleotides) under Solanum lycopersicum (tomato). RNAcentral's name for it is "long non-coding RNA (SLYC_LNC000861)". Lineage: Eukaryota; Viridiplantae; Streptophyta; Magnoliopsida; Solanales; Solanaceae. The record is from RNAcentral.